UUGAAAUCCACACUUAAUUGCUGUUUCUGACUGUCUUCCUUCAUUUUGCUUUCAAAAGUUGUUUGCCUGAGGAUAUACGUGAUUUGGAUCUUUGUCCUCACUUCCCUGACCUUUCCCUCCUGCUUCCCAGCAGCGCUGCCAGAAUCCCAGGUGGAGGAGCACCACGUAGGAGCCACGUGAAUCAGGCACACUGAGAACAGCAGAGCAGUGGG
Molecule: long non-coding RNA, 212 nt
Filed under: Parus major (Great Tit)
Lineage: Eukaryota; Metazoa; Chordata; Aves; Passeriformes; Paridae
Description: lncRNA (ENSPMJG00000002449.1)
Source: RNAcentral